GACCUUUAGCCCCUGCUUUUGCUUUUUUGUUACUUUUAUUCUUUCCCUUGUACCAUUACUCAGUCCCUACCUGGGGUUUUAUCUCUGGUCUUUCUCCUUGGCUUGGAAACAAUAUAUUCCCUUGAAAUAAUUAUCUGCUACGAAUCCGGUCGAUCGUCUUAAUUGGUUGCUCCUACAUCUUAAGCAUUUCACUUUUUUUGGUGCACGUGAGAGACAU
This 217-nucleotide unclassified non-coding RNA is filed under the name Hevea brasiliensis (rubber tree). Lineage: Eukaryota; Viridiplantae; Streptophyta; Magnoliopsida; Malpighiales; Euphorbiaceae. The record is from RNAcentral.